CACACUGCGGUGAGUACGUUCCCGGGUCUUGUACACACCGCCCGUCAAACCAUGAAAGUCACCAACACCCGAAGUCCUAACUUGUUUAGGCCUAAGGGUGGGGGGGGGAUGAUUGGGGUU
Molecule: ribosomal RNA, 120 nt
Filed under: uncultured bacterium
Lineage: Bacteria
Description: partial 16S ribosomal RNA
Rfam family: Bacterial small subunit ribosomal RNA
Source: RNAcentral